This 504-nucleotide long non-coding RNA is filed under the name Mytilus galloprovincialis (Mediterranean mussel). Lineage: Eukaryota; Metazoa; Mollusca; Bivalvia; Mytilida; Mytilidae. The record is from RNAcentral.
GGGGCCCAUAUACAAUUUCUGUUCAUGUUGUUGAAAAGUGGUUAAGAAGUUUUUAAAAGGAAAACUAUAUAAGAAGUUUACUGGCAACCAAUGGGCAAUUGAUAAUGUGUGCCAAAUGAGAACUUAAGCUGACAAAGACAUUGGGCAAGGAAAAGUUAAAAUGAAGGAAAGCACAGUUUUCAUUCUAUAGGUGUUCAGUGCUUAAUCCGAUCACCAUUCCAACAUUGUCUUAUGCAUCUUUAUUAUUUUUUGCAAAAACUUACUAGUCUGAUUACAUUUUGAUAGUCCUGGGCUUGGGACUAGUAGCUAGCAGUGCCAACUUUUCAUGUGUACAUAUCAAGAAGGUACAAUAUGGUCAGUUUUCAGAUAAAGGAUCACACAGCAUCACAAAUCUUUCUAAAAACAUCCUUAAAUGUUCUUUACACAUUAGUCUGCUAGUUAGCAGUAAUUAUAUCUUUGAAUUUCUCUAUGAUAUUUGCUUUAGGCCUCUAAAACCUUUUGAAU